UACGAAGGGGGCUAGCGUUGCUCGGAAUUACUGGGCGUAAAGGGCGCGUAGGCGGACAGUUUAGUCAGAGGUGAAAGCCCAGGGCUCAACCUUGGAAUUGCCUUUGAUACUGGCUGUCUUGAGUUCGGGAGAGGUGAGUGGAAUGCCGGGUGUAGAGGUGAAAUUCGUAGAUAUUCGGCGGAACACCAGUGGCGAAGGCGACUCACUGGCCCGAUACUGACGCUGAGGCGCGAAAGCGUGGGGAGCAAACAGG
Molecule: ribosomal RNA, 253 nt
Filed under: uncultured bacterium
Lineage: Bacteria
Description: partial 16S ribosomal RNA
Rfam family: Bacterial small subunit ribosomal RNA
Source: RNAcentral